This 472-nucleotide ribosomal RNA is filed under the name Micrococcineae bacterium CL2.111. RNAcentral's name for it is "bacterial SSU rRNA". It matches the Rfam family "Bacterial small subunit ribosomal RNA", at positions 18 to 503 of the family's 1533-position model. Lineage: Bacteria; Bacillati; Actinomycetota; Actinomycetes; Micrococcales. The record is from RNAcentral.
CCUGGCUCAGGAUGAACGCUGGCGGCGUGCUUAACACAUGCAAGUCGAACGAUGAUCCCAGCUUGCUGGGGGAUUAGUGGCGAACGGGUGAGUAACACGUGAGUAACCUGCCCUUAACUCUGGGAUAAGCCUGGGAAACUGGGUCUAAUACCGGAUAUGACUCCUCAUCGCAUGGUGGGGGGUGGAAAGCUUUAUUGUGGUUUUGGAUGGACUCGCGGCCUAUCAGCUUGUUGGUGAGGUAAUGGCUCACCAAGGCGACGACGGGUAGCCGGCCUGAGAGGGUGACCGGCCACACUGGGACUGAGACACGGCCCAGACUCCUACGGGAGGCAGCAGUGGGGAAUAUUGCACAAUGGGCGAAAGCCUGAUGCAGCGACGCCGCGUGAGGGAUGACGGCCUUCGGGUUGUAAACCUCUUUCAGUAGGGAAGAAGCGAAAGUGACGGUACCUGCAGAAGAAGCGCCGGCUAACUA